Molecule: ribosomal RNA, 479 nt
Filed under: uncultured bacterium
Lineage: Bacteria
Description: bacterial SSU rRNA
Rfam family: Bacterial small subunit ribosomal RNA
Source: RNAcentral
UAACACAUGCAAGUCGAGCGGAGACAUACAGCGGAUAGGAAGUUUCGGAUGGAAUGAAGAAGUAUGUUUAGCGGCGGACGGGUGAGUAACGCGUGAGCAAUCUGUCCUUCACAGGGGGAUAACACAGCGAAAGUUGUACUAAUACCGCAUAAGACCACGGUGUUGCAUGACACAGGGGUCAAAGGAGGAAUCCGGUGAAGGGUGAGCUCGCGUCCGAUUAGAUAGUAGGUGAGGUAACGGCCCACCUAGUCGACGAUCGGUAGCCGACCUGAGAGGGUGAUCGGCCACAUUGGGACUGAGACACGGCCCAAACUCCUACGGGAGGCAGCAGUGGGGAAUAUUGGGCAAUGGGGGGAACCCUGACCCAGCAACGCCGCGUGAGGGAAGAAGGUUUUCGAAUCGUAAACCUCUGUCCUUGGUGAAGAGGAAGAGACGGUAGCCAAGGAGGAAGCCCCGGCUAACUACGUGCCAGCAGCUGC